Long non-coding RNA from Phyllostomus discolor (pale spear-nosed bat), 166 nucleotides. RefSeq lists it as uncharacterized. The transcript is spliced from 3 exons. NCBI's taxonomy places the organism in Eukaryota, Metazoa, Chordata, Mammalia, Chiroptera, Phyllostomidae. The record is from RefSeq and is a predicted model, not a curated record.
UUUCUAUUGCUACUUAAAGUAUGGUAAUGCCUAGUGGAUGUCUAUGCUAUGGCCUGCCACUAUCAUCAGUUCUGCUUCCACCAGUUCACUUAUGUGCAUCCUACAGUCCGUUAUACUUAUGGCCAGCUGUCCUUGUUACUGUCAUGUACCAAGACCUGCAAAAUCC